RNAcentral lists this ribosomal RNA (480 nucleotides) under uncultured bacterium. RNAcentral's name for it is "partial 16S ribosomal RNA". It matches the Rfam family "Bacterial small subunit ribosomal RNA", at positions 28 to 507 of the family's 1533-position model. The record is from RNAcentral.
GACGAACGCUGGCGGCGUGCUUAACACAUGCAAGUCGAACGAUGAAGCAAAGAAUUGAAGCUUCGGCAGAAAUUCAUUUCGGAUUAGUGGCAGACGGGUGAGUAACGCGUGAGCAACCUACCUCUUACAAAGGGAUAGCCUCGGGAAACCGGGAUUAAUACCAUAUAACAUUGCGACGAAGCAUUUCGAUGCAAUCAAAGCUACGGCGGUAAGAGAUGGGCUCGCGUCCCAUUAACCAGAUGGUGAGGUAACGGCUCACCAUAGUAACGAUGGGUAACCGGCCUGGGAGGGUGAACGGUCACACUGGAACUGAGACACGGUCCAGACUCCUACGGGGGGCAGCAGUAGGGAAUAUUGCACAAUGGAGGGAACUCUGAUGCAGCGACGCCGCGUGAGUGAUGAAGGAAUUCGUUUCGUAAAACUCUGUUCUAUGGGAAGAAAAGGACUGUACCAUAUGAGAAAGCUCCGGCUAAAUACGUG